RNAcentral lists this ribosomal RNA (360 nucleotides) under uncultured bacterium. Its description in RNAcentral is "bacterial SSU rRNA". It matches the Rfam family "Bacterial small subunit ribosomal RNA", at positions 70 to 422 of the family's 1533-position model. The record is from RNAcentral.
CUUUGGGAGCUUGCUCCUAAAGGUUAGCGGCGGACGGGUGAGUAACACGUGGGCAACCUGCCUAUAAGACUGGGAUAACUUCGGGAAACCGGAGCUAAUACCGGAUAAUUCUUUUCUAUACAUGUAGAAAAGCUAAAAGACGGUUUACGCUGUCACUUAUAGAUGGGCCCGCGGCGCAUUAGCUAGUUGGUGAGGUAACGGCUCACCAAGGCCACGAUGCGUAGCCGACCUGAGAGGGUGAUCGGCCACACUGGGACUGAGACACGGCCCAGACUCCUACGGGAGGCAGCAGUAGGGAAUCUUCCGCAAUGGACGAAAGUCUGACGGAGCAACGCCGCGUGAGUGAUGAAGGUUUCCGGA